UUAAGUUCAGCGGGUAGUCCUACCUGAUUUGAGGUCAGAUGACAUGAAGUUGUCCUAAGACGAUUUGAAGCGACCUUUGGAGACUCGGUCCAGACGGCGUCAAAGUGUUACUUAUCACACCGUCGUACGGAACCGAACUCGCGGCGGAACGCUAAUGCAUUUCAAGACGAGCAGACGUCGAAGACUGCAACGUCCAAAUC
Molecule: unclassified non-coding RNA, 200 nt
Filed under: Phaeoclavulina sp.
Lineage: Eukaryota; Fungi; Basidiomycota; Agaricomycetes; Gomphales; Gomphaceae
Description: partial internal transcribed spacer 2
Source: RNAcentral